GUCUUUAGUAGCUGCACAGUAGCUGUCUAACAUUUUGAUCGGACGAACCGUAAUAGAUCCAUCAAAUAGUGAACCAAAAGCUGAGAUUGCUCCACGUGUCCCUUUGAUAUUUUGGUUUGAUACAAGAUCUAAGUCUUUAGUUCUUGGUACUUUACCAAUUGUAUUUUUGUUCUUAUCGACCACAACCUUCGCCUUAUUCCUUCUAGCUUCUUCUUCCUUACUUAGUUUGUUGCGAGAGACUGUGAGUUGAGAAUCAAAAUUGAUCAUUGGAUUUUUAUCUUCAACAUUCUCCUCAAGUUGGAGGGUAGAGAAGCAACCCCCAACUUGCCGAGAAUUGAGAGAUGUGAUGGCCGAGACAAGGGUUUUGUGAAUAAAUCAGCAAGUUGAGACGAAGACGGCACAAAGGAAAGAGAUUAAACCAGAGAGGAAUUAUUGCCGAACAAAGUGGCAGUCAAGUUCCACAUGUUUGGUCCUCUCAUGAAAAACUGGGUUCCGAGCUAUGUGGAUUGCGGCCUGGCUAUCGGAGUGAAUCGGUACCGAAAGAGAGGGAGAUGAUCCUAGAUCUGUGAGUAAUCGAGUCAACCAGGUGAUUUCAGCGACGACUCUUCUCAUGGAUCGAUAUUCUGCUUCAGCGGAAGAGAGUGACACUGAGACCUGUAUUUUUUAUUUCCACGAGAUAGGAGAGCCUCAUAAACUGACAAAAUAGCCACUGAUUGAACGGCGGGAGUCAAGACAAGCGCCCCAGCCGGCAUUGCAAAAUGCGAGUAAGGUGAGAGAAGGUUCAGCUAUCAUGAAGAUUCCUUGUCCAGGAUUUGAGCGCAUAUAUCUAAUUACCCGAAGUGCCACAUUAAAAUGAGGCAAGCGAGGAUCUUGCAUAAAUUGACUAAGAUGUUAGACCGCGAAUGAAAGAUCCGGCCUAGUAUAAGUUAAAUAGUUCAAUUUGCCAAGGAGUCUCCGAUAUAUGGUUGCAUCGGAUAGUAAUUCACCAGAAGUAAUACUGAGCUUGCAUGAGGGAUCCAGAGGAGAAGUCACCAGUGGUAGAUGCUCGCAGUUGAACUCUUCUAAUAACUCCAAGCCAGGAAGGAUGUAGAAUCACCAAGGAAUUGGGAGUUGACAUAAACUUCUCUCUGCUUCUCAUCCUAUAUCAACAAGGAGUAAGCAUGUCCUAUAGUUGGCAAAGGGGAUAACAUCAAGAUGCUGCUUCUCAUAGAGGCAUAAGUAUCAUUCAACCCCAUGAGAAAUUUGAUAAGCCUCUCAUCUUGAAGUGACUUAGCCAUUUUGGCUUUUCCUCCACAAUUACAGGCACAAAAAUAGUUGAUAUGAGUGUUCAAGGUCCUUGGAUGUCUUAGAGUAAAUCACACUGUCAGCAAUCUCUCUUGACAGAGAAUUAAGUAGCCAAAAAAUCACCAUAUCAUUACACAUGCUUGACAACUUGAAGUCAUGUGUUUCUGGCCUAGGAGAAAGGCAAGCUCCACCAAUAAAGCCAAUCUUAUUUUUUGUAGAAAGAGCUAUGAGAAUGGACCUGCGCCAUCCUCCAUAACCUCUUCCAUCAAAAGAUGAGUUUACCAAGUUCAUUCUAGGUGAAUCAGACGGGUUAAGGAAGUAAGGAUAACUUGGGUAUUUCAUGCUAUUCCCAUUAUUUCCAGAGGUGACAGUAUUUCCAGAAGUGACAUCAGCGACCUCAGAUGUGGACAUCAUUGGAGAAUGAAAGCAAAGAGAAACUGAAAAAGAAAAAGAUUAGGAUAUUCUUAGAGCUGUUGCUUUGAUACCAUGUAGAAAAGUUAGGAGAAAAAAUGAUUGAGAAUUUUUCUGUGUAUUUUCAUUGAUUGAUGACAGUCUAUUUAUACAAGUAUAGUGUAAAAGGAUAAGAAUAA
Molecule: long non-coding RNA, 1874 nt
Organism: Nicotiana tabacum (common tobacco)
Lineage: Eukaryota; Viridiplantae; Streptophyta; Magnoliopsida; Solanales; Solanaceae
Source: RefSeq, a predicted model, not a curated record